CCUACGGGUGGCUGCAGUGAGGAAUAUUGGUCAAUGGGCGCGAGCCUGAACCAGCCAAGUAGCGUGAAGGAUGACUGCCCUACGGGUUGUAAACUGCUUUUAUAAAGGAGUAAACUUAGACACGUGUAUCUGUUUGUAUGUACUUUAUGAAUAAGGAUCGGCUAACUCCGUGCCAGCAGCCGCGGUAAUACGGAGGAUCCGAGCGUUAUCCGGAUUUAUUGGGUUUAAAGGGAGCGUAGGUGGGUUGUUAAGUCAGUUGUGAAAGUUUGCGGCGCAACCGUUAAAUUGCAAUUGAUACUGGCAGCCUUGAGUAGAGAUGCGGUAGGCGGAAUGCGUGGUGUAGCGGUGAAAUGCUUAGAGAUCACACAGAACACCGAUUGCGAAGGCAGCUUACCAAACUGCAACUGACAUUGAUGCACGAAAGUGUGGGUAGCAAACAGGAUUAGAUACCCCUGUAGUC
This 460-nucleotide ribosomal RNA is filed under the name uncultured bacterium. RNAcentral describes it as "partial 16S ribosomal RNA". It matches the Rfam family "Bacterial small subunit ribosomal RNA", at positions 338 to 795 of the family's 1533-position model. The record is from RNAcentral.